GACGAACGCUGGCGGCGUGCUUAACACAUGCAAGUCGAACGAAGAGCGAUGGAAGCUUGCUUCUAUCAAUCUUAGUGGCGAACGGGUGAGUAACGCGUAAUCAACCUGCCCUUCAGAGGGGGACAACAGUUGGAAACGACUGCUAAUACCGCAUACGAUCUAAUCUCGGCAUCGAGGAUAGAUGAAAGGUGGCCUCUACAUGUAAGCUAUCACUGAAGGAGGGGAUUGCGUCUGAUUAGCUAGUUGGAGGGGUAACGGCCCACCAAGGCGAUGAUCAGUAGCCGGUCUGAGAGGAUGAACGGCCACAUUGGGACUGAGACACGGCCCAGACUCCUACGGGAGGCAGCAGUGGGGGAUCUUCCGCAAUGGACGAAAGUCUGACGGAGCAACGCCGCGUGAGCGAUGACGGCCUUCGGGUUGUAAAGCUCUGUUAAUCGGGACGAAAGGCCUUCUUGCGAAUAGGGAGAAGGAUUGACGGUACCGGAAUAGAAAGCCACGGCUAACUACGUG
RNAcentral lists this ribosomal RNA (510 nucleotides) under uncultured bacterium. RNAcentral describes it as "partial 16S ribosomal RNA". It matches the Rfam family "Bacterial small subunit ribosomal RNA", at positions 28 to 507 of the family's 1533-position model. The record is from RNAcentral.